This 254-nucleotide ribosomal RNA is filed under the name uncultured bacterium. RNAcentral's name for it is "partial 16S ribosomal RNA". It matches the Rfam family "Bacterial small subunit ribosomal RNA", at positions 79 to 334 of the family's 1533-position model. The record is from RNAcentral.
UUUCUUUUGCUGGCGACCGGCGCACGGGUGAGUAACACGUAUCCAACCUGCCCUUUACUCGGGGAUAGCCUUUCGAAAGAAAGAUUAAUACCCGAUAGCAUAAUGAUUCCGCAUGGUUUCAUUAUUAAAGGAUUCCGGUAAAGGAUGGGGAUGCGUUCCAUUAGGUUGUUGGUGAGGUAACGGCUCACCAAGCCUUCGAUGGAUAGGGGUUCUGAGAGGAAGGUCCCCCACAUUGGAACUGAGACACGGUCCAA